UACGGGGGGUGCAAGCGUUGUUCGGAAUCAUUGGGCGUAAAGCGCGCGCAGGCGGCUUGGUAAGUCAGAUGUGAAAUCCCUGGGCUUAACCCAGGAAGUGCAUUUGAUACUGCCUCGCUAGAGUACGGGAGAGGAAAGUGGAAUUCCUGGUGUAGAGGUGAAAUUCGUAGAUAUCAGGAGGAACACCGGUGGCGAAGGCGACUUUCUGGCCCGAUACUGACGCUCAGGCGCGAAAGCGUGGGGAG
Molecule: ribosomal RNA, 245 nt
Filed under: uncultured Smithella sp.
Lineage: Bacteria; Pseudomonadati; Thermodesulfobacteriota; Syntrophia; Syntrophales; Smithellaceae
Description: partial 16S ribosomal RNA
Rfam family: Bacterial small subunit ribosomal RNA
Source: RNAcentral